This 85-nucleotide transfer RNA is filed under the name Acidobacteriota bacterium. RNAcentral describes it as "Acidobacteria bacterium (activated sludge metagenome) tRNA-Tyr". It matches the Rfam family "tRNA". Rfam says of the family: Transfer RNA (tRNA) molecules are approximately 80 nucleotides in length. Their secondary structure includes four short double-helical elements and three loops (D, anti-codon, and T loops). Lineage: Bacteria; Pseudomonadati; Acidobacteriota. The record is from RNAcentral.
GGGGAAAUUCCAGAGUGGCCAAAUGGGGCAGACUGUAAAUCUGCUGUCUACGACUUCGGUGGUUCGAAUCCGCCUUUCCCCACCA